AUACGUAGGUGACAAGCGUUAUCCGGAUUUACUGGGCGUAAAGGGCGUGUAGGCGGUCUUGCAAGUCAGAAGUGAAAUUCCUGAGCUCAACUCGGGCGCUGCUUCUGAAACUACAGGACUUGAGUGCUGGAGGGGAUAGCGGAAUUCCUAGUGGAGCGGUAAAAUGCGAAGAUAUUAGGAAGAACACCGGUGGCGAAGGCGGCUAUCUGGACAGUAACGGACGCUGAGGAGCGAAGGCGUGGGGCGCAAACAGGAUUCGAUAGCCUGGUAGUCCACGCGGUAAACGAUGAUCACUAGGUGUUGGCACGCAUAGCGUGGCGGUGCCGCAGCAAACGCAAUAAGUGAUCCACCUGGGGAGUACGUUCGCAAGAAGGAAACUCAAAGGAAUUGACGGGG
Molecule: ribosomal RNA, 396 nt
Filed under: uncultured bacterium
Lineage: Bacteria
Description: partial 16S ribosomal RNA
Rfam family: Bacterial small subunit ribosomal RNA
Source: RNAcentral